Molecule: transfer RNA, 73 nt
Filed under: Heliconius melpomene (postman butterfly)
Lineage: Eukaryota; Metazoa; Arthropoda; Insecta; Lepidoptera; Nymphalidae
Description: tRNA HMEL004135
Rfam family: tRNA
About the family: Transfer RNA (tRNA) molecules are approximately 80 nucleotides in length. Their secondary structure includes four short double-helical elements and three loops (D, anti-codon, and T loops). Further hydrogen bonds mediate the characteristic L-shaped molecular structure. tRNAs have two regions of fundamental functional importance: the anti-codon, which is responsible for specific mRNA codon recognition, and the 3' end, to which the tRNAs corresponding amino acid is attached (by aminoacyl-tRNA synthetases). tRNAs cope with the degeneracy of the genetic code in two manners: having more than one tRNA (with a specific anti-codon) for a particular amino acid; and 'wobble' base-pairing, i.e. permitting non-standard base-pairing at the 3rd anti-codon position.
Source: RNAcentral
UCAUCGGUGGUUCAGUGGUGCAUAAUGCUCGCCUGCCACGCGGGCGGCCCGGGUUCGAUUCCCGGCCAAUGCA